Molecule: ribosomal RNA, 268 nt
Filed under: uncultured bacterium
Lineage: Bacteria
Description: partial 16S ribosomal RNA
Rfam family: Bacterial small subunit ribosomal RNA
Source: RNAcentral
CUGGCCCUACGGGGCGCAGCAGUGAGGAAUAUUGGUCAAUGGCCGGGAGGCUGAACCAGCCACGUCGCGUGAGGGAAUAAGGCCCUAUGGGUCGUAAACCUCUUUUGUCAGGGAACAAAGGCGGGGACGUGUCCCCGGAUGAGUGUACCUGAAGAAAAAGCAUCGGCUAACUCCGUGCCAGCAGCCGCGGUAAUACGGAGGAUGCGAGCGUUAUCCGGAUUUAUUGGGUUUAAAGGGUGGGCAGGCGGUCUUGUAAGGCAGCGGUCAA